Molecule: ribosomal RNA, 233 nt
Filed under: uncultured Actinomycetales bacterium
Lineage: Bacteria; Bacillati; Actinomycetota; Actinomycetes; Actinomycetales
Description: partial 16S ribosomal RNA
Rfam family: Bacterial small subunit ribosomal RNA
Source: RNAcentral
GGCGAACGGGUGAGUAACACGUGGGUGAUCUGCCCUGCACUUCGGGAUAAGCCUGGGAAACUGGGUCUGAUACCGGAUAGGAGCCAUUUUUAGUGUGAUGGUUGGAAAGUUUUUCGGUGUAGGAUGAGCUCGCGGCCUAUCAGCUUGUUGGUGGGGUAAUGGCCUACCAAGGCGGCGACGGGUAGCCGGCCUGAGAGGGUGGACGGCCACAUUGGGACUGAGAUACGGCCCAG